GUGUGAUCGAUCGAGAUUCGAGAUUUCUUUUGUUCUUGCGCAGAAGCCAUACUUGCAAUUGAGGGAGAACAAUUGGACAUUCAAUGCCGACAUAAACGGUGCCUGGAACAUCAUCUACGACCUGUAAUUCUCGAGAGCGAGAGGGAACGAACGAUUCUUUCAAUCAUCUCAUUCAUCUUAGCAGCGAAGAAUGAAAGGGAAAAUUUUUUAGAGGUCUUACUUGCGUUUCUUGGUGGCACUGGCUAGUUCUUCCUCCAAUUCUUCUUCUUCCUCCUGCUCUGGAUCGGCUACUUCCAGCGCGCAGUGAUGCCGGAGCAUGUAAUCGCCCAGUAGCUGCAUCGCUUUGCUCUUGAGAUCCACCAGCGCCGCCGAGAGCGAUGGAUUACUCUCGGAUUGGAUCGAUUGGGCCUCCGCCUCGAGCCGGAAGCUCGCCAUAGCCGUCGCCAUUCUAUCUAUCUUCUUAGCCCUAAAAAAAGGC
This 478-nucleotide long non-coding RNA is filed under the name Selaginella moellendorffii. Its description in RNAcentral is "long non-coding RNA (SMOE_LNC000603)". Lineage: Eukaryota; Viridiplantae; Streptophyta; Lycopodiopsida; Selaginellales; Selaginellaceae. The record is from RNAcentral.